Long non-coding RNA from Pan troglodytes (chimpanzee), 1841 nucleotides. RefSeq lists it as uncharacterized. The transcript is spliced from 2 exons. Lineage: Eukaryota; Metazoa; Chordata; Mammalia; Primates; Hominidae. The record is from RefSeq and is a predicted model, not a curated record.
GGACUCAGGAUACUCAGAGAGGAUGGACUGAGGGGACUCGGGGGAGGAUGGACUCAGGAUACUCAGAGAGGAUGGACUGAGGGGACUCAGGGGAGGAUGGACUGAGGAUACUUGGGAGAGGAUGGACUGAGGAUACUCGGAGAGGAUGGAUUGAGGGGACUCGGGGGAGGAUGGACUGAGGAUACUCGGAGAGGAUGGACUGGGGGGACUCGGGGGAGGAUGGACUCAGGAUACUGAGAGAGGAUGGACUGAGGGGACUCAGGGCAGGAUGGACUGAGGAUACUCGGAGAGGAUGGACUGAGGGGACUCGGGGGAGGAUGCACUGGGGAUACUCAGAGAGGAUAGACUGAGAGGACUUGGGGGAGGAUGGACUGAGGGGACUCUGGGGAAAAUGGACUGAGGAUACUAGCGGAAGAUGGACUGAGAAGACUCGGGGAAGAAUGGACUGAGGAUACUCGCGGAGGACGGACUGAGAAGACUCGGGGGAGGAUGCACUGAGGAUACUCGCGGAGGAUGGACUGAGAAGACUCAGGGAGGAUGGGCUGAAGAUACUCGGGGAGGAUGCACUGAGGAUACUUGGAGAGGAUGGACUGAGAGGACUCGGGGAAGAAUGGACUGAGGAGACUCGGAGAGGAUGGAUUGAGGAUACUCUGGGGAGGAUGCACUGAGGGCGCUCUGGGAAGGAUGAACUGAGGAGACUCAUGAAUAGUCUCCCACUACUCUAUCAGAGAUAACCACAUUUUAGCAAACACUCCGUUGGAGUCACCCCAUGCACACAUGUGUACAUGCAGCCAAGCCUUUUCCCAUGCUAUUAGCUGGUGCAAGUUCCAUCCCUGGAUUUUAAGCAUGGGUCGCCUGGAAGAGCUUUGUUAGAGGAAGAAGAAAGAGGUGUCUCUCAGGAAAAUCCUGGUUCCCAAAGUUGCACAUUAUGUCAGAUGUACCUGUCUUUGACGGCUGGGAGAGCGGACAAGACCCUGCCCCAGCCCUGGCCAGGAAUGGUGGCUGGUGAGCCCCUAGUUGCAGGCAACCUGGACCUGUCCUCGCAGCACCUGAAGAGGGGAAAGGAGACUUGAGGAGAAUGACUGUCCCCAGGCGACCGCCCAUGAACACCUGAGCACCCAUCUGAUAAACAGCCUGGAGUCACUGGAGAGUGACAGCUUCCAUGUAUAUUCAUAUAUGCUCACCAUUAUUUUUCAUAACCACAUCACAUUGCAUCAUUUUAAUGUAUCAUAAUUUUCUCAACCAGCCCCAUCCAGAAGCUUCUUAACCCAAUCUCUUUCUAAGGCCCUCCAAAGGGCUGGAAGAGGGAGCAUCUUUAUUUUGCUGCUGCCAUCAGGGGUCUUGGGAGAGUCCCCUUGGAUCCUGAUUUUUCAGGGCUUGAUGCCUGAGAAUAACUGACAGAAAUUUUGAGAACUGUGCCCCCCGUAAUAACAAUAAUUAACAUUGUUUUCAGUACUCUGGGCCAGGCACUGUUCUAAGCACUUUGUACAUAUUAUCUAAGUGACUCUUCACAACAACAACCUUCUGAGCAUGCCCUGCCAAAUCUUACCAUAGAACAGAUGCCUGUGGCGCUGCGGUGGUGCCCAACAGCUCUGAGUUUCAGCCUCUUCUUCCUGGGACUUAACCUCUCACUCUCCACUGCUGUCCUUUGAACCCACAGGAGUAAAUUGGUGAGCAUCAUUCAUUCAAAUGCACCAUGAGAAGUGUAGUGGGGAGAUGCAAAAGAAGAAUGAAAUAGCCCACAGAAGAUUUCCACACAAGCUGAUAAAUAUACACCUGUGGUUCUCGUUAACCACAGGAGUCAGUGUGGCCCUGUGUGAUAUAAUAAAGAAUAAACCUUU